AUUGAACGCUGGCGGCAGGCCUAACACAUGCAAGUCGAGCGGAUGAAGGGAGCUUGCUCCUGGAUUCAGCGGCGGACGGGUGAGUAAUGCCUAGGAAUCUGCCUGGUAGUGGGGGAUAACGUCCGGAAACGGGCGCUAAUACCGCAUACGUCCUGAGGGAGAAAGUGGGGGAUCUUCGGACCUCACGCUAUCAGAUGAGCCUAGGUCGGAUUAGCUAGUUGGUGGGGUAAAGGCCUACCAAGGCGACGAUCCGUAACUGGUCUGAGAGGAUGAUCAGUCACACUGGAACUGAGACACGGUCCCGACUCCUACGGGAGGCAGCAGUGGGGAAUAUUGGGCAAUGGGCGAAAGCCUGAUCCAGCCAUGCCGCGUGUGUGAAGAAGGUCUUCGGAUUGUAAAGCACUUUAAGUUGGGAGGAAGGGCAGUAAGUUAAUACCUUGCUGUUUUGACGGUACCAACAGAAUAAGCACCGGCUAACUUCGUG
Molecule: ribosomal RNA, 484 nt
Filed under: uncultured bacterium
Lineage: Bacteria
Description: partial 16S ribosomal RNA
Rfam family: Bacterial small subunit ribosomal RNA
Source: RNAcentral